This 706-nucleotide ribosomal RNA is filed under the name uncultured Pseudomonadota bacterium. RNAcentral describes it as "bacterial SSU rRNA". It matches the Rfam family "Bacterial small subunit ribosomal RNA", at positions 28 to 723 of the family's 1533-position model. Lineage: Bacteria; Pseudomonadati; Pseudomonadota. The record is from RNAcentral.
AUUGAACGCUGGCGGCAGGCCUAACACAUGCAAGUCGAACGGUAACAGGAAGAAGCUUGCUUCUUUGCUGACGAGUGGCGGACGGGUGAGUAAUGUCUGGGAAACUGCCUGAUGGAGGGGGAUAACUACUGGAAACGGUAGCUAAUACCGCAUAACGUCGCAAGACCAAAGAGGGGGACCUUCGGGCCUCUUGCCAUCGGAUGUGCCCAGAUGGGAUUAGCUAGUAGGUGGGGUAACGGCUCACCUAGGCGACGAUCCCUAGCUGGUCUGAGAGGAUGACCAGCCACACUGGAACUGAGACACGGUCCAGACUUCUACGGGAGGCAGCAGUGGGGAAUAUUGCACAAUGGGCGCAAGCCUGAUGCAGCCAUGCCGCGUGUAUGAAGAAGGCCUUCGGGUUGUAAAGUACUUUCAGCGGGGAGGAAGGGAGUAAAGUUAAUACCUUUGCUCAUUGACGUUACCCGCAGAAGAGGCACCGGCUAACUCCGUGCCAGCAGCCGCGGUAAUACGGAGGGUGCAAGCGUUAAUCGGAAUUACUGGGCGUAAAGCGCACGCAGGCGGUUUGUUAAGUCAGAUGUGAAAUCCCCGGGCUCAACCUGGGAACUGCAUCUGAUACUGGCAAGCUUGAGUCUCGUAGAGGGGGGUAGAAUUCCAGGUGUAGCGGUGAAAUGCGUAGAGAUCUGGAGGAAUACCGGUGGCGAAGGCG